UAGGGAAUAUUAGUAAUGGGCGAAAGCCUGAACUAGCAACGCCGCGUGUGCGAAGAAGGCCUUCGGGUUGUAAAGCACUUUUAGAGAGGAUGAGGAAGGACGGUACUCUCAGAAUAAGUCUCGGCUAACUACGUGCCAGCAGCCGCGGUAACACGUAGGAGGCGAACGUUAUCCGGAUUUACUGGGCGUAAAGCGCGUGUAGGUGGUUUGGUAAGUAGGGCGUGAAAGCUCCCGGCUCAACUGGGAGAGGCCGUUCUAAACUGCCAAGCUAGAGGAUGGUAGAGGGAGGUGGAAUUCCGGGUGUAGCGGUGGAAUGCGCAGAUAUCCGGAGGAACACCAGUGGCGAAGGCGGCCUCCUGGGCCACUCCUGACACUCAGACGCGAAAGCUAGGGUAGCAAACGG
RNAcentral lists this ribosomal RNA (403 nucleotides) under uncultured bacterium. Its description in RNAcentral is "bacterial SSU rRNA". It matches the Rfam family "Bacterial small subunit ribosomal RNA", at positions 355 to 775 of the family's 1533-position model. The record is from RNAcentral.